GUUGCUAUGAAGAGCUGUUAACAUGUAAGGAGAACUCUCGACAGUUCUGUUCUCCAAUGAGAUUUUCUUGUUACGCUUGGCUUCUGAGCUUA
Small nucleolar RNA from Zingiber officinale, 92 nucleotides. RefSeq annotates it as small nucleolar RNA R24. The transcript has a single exon. Lineage: Eukaryota; Viridiplantae; Streptophyta; Magnoliopsida; Zingiberales; Zingiberaceae. The record is from RefSeq and is a predicted model, not a curated record.